This 991-nucleotide ribosomal RNA is filed under the name Triplosphaeria acuta. Its description in RNAcentral is "SSU rRNA". It matches the Rfam family "Eukaryotic small subunit ribosomal RNA", at positions 92 to 1088 of the family's 1831-position model. The record is from RNAcentral. RNAcentral also lists the same sequence under 2 other names. Lineage: Eukaryota; Fungi; Ascomycota; Dothideomycetes; Pleosporales; Tetraplosphaeriaceae.
AAUGGCUCAUUAAAUCAGUUAUCGUUUAUUUGAUAGUACCUACCAACUACUUGGAUAUCCGUGGUAAUUCUAGAGCUAAUACAUGCUAAAAACCCCGACUUCGGGAGGGGUGUAUUUAUUAGAUAAAAAACCAAUGCCCCUCGGGGCUCCUUGGUGAUUCAUGAUAACUUAACGGAUCGCAUGGCCUUGCGCCGGCGACGGUUCAUUCAAAUUUCUGCCCUAUCAACUUUCGAUGGUAAGGUAUUGGCUUACCAUGGUUUCAACGGGUAACGGGGAAUUAGGGUUCGAUUCCGGAGAGGGAGCCUGAGAAACGGCUACCACAUCCAAGGAAGGCAGCAGGCGCGCAAAUUACCCAAUCCCGACACGGGGAGGUAGUGACAAUAAAUACUGAUACAGGGCUCUUUUGGGUCUUGUAAUCGGAAUGAGUACAAUUUAAACCCCUUAACGAGGAACAAUUGGAGGGCAAGUCUGGUGCCAGCAGCCGCGGUAAUUCCAGCUCCAAUAGCGUAUAUUAAAGUUGUUGCAGUUAAAAAGCUCGUAGUUGAACCUUGGGCCUGGCUGGCCGGUCCGCCUCACCGCGUGUACUGGUCCGGCCGGGCCUUUCCUUCUGGAGAGCCGCAUGCCCUUCACUGGGUGUGUCGGGGAACCAGGACUUUUACUUUGAAAAAAUUAGAGUGUUCAAAGCAGGCCUUUGCUCGAAUACGUUAGCAUGGAAUAAUAGAAUAGGACGUGCGGUCCUAUUUUGUUGGUUUCUAGGACCGCCGUAAUGAUUAAUAGGGAUAGUCGGGGGCAUCAGUAUUCAAUUGUCAGAGGUGAAAUUCUUGGAUUUAUUGAAGACUAACUACUGCGAAAGCAUUUGCCAAGGAUGUUUUCAUUAAUCAGUGAACGAAAGUUAGGGGAUCGAAGACGAUCAGAUACCGUCGUAGUCUUAACCGUAAACUAUGCCGACUAGGGAUCGGGCGAUGUUUCUAUCUUGACUCGCUCGGCACCU